RNAcentral lists this ribosomal RNA (253 nucleotides) under uncultured bacterium. Its description in RNAcentral is "partial 16S ribosomal RNA". It matches the Rfam family "Bacterial small subunit ribosomal RNA", at positions 524 to 776 of the family's 1533-position model. The record is from RNAcentral.
GACAGAGGCCUCAAGCGUUAGGCGGAAUCACUGGGCUUAAAGCGUGUGUAGGCGGGUCGUUAAGUACCUUGUGAAAUCCCACGGCUCACCCGUGGAACUGCUGGGUAUACUGGCGAUCUUGGGCCAACUAGGGGCAGCCGGAACAAGCGGUGGAGCGGUGAAAUGCGUAGAUAUCGCUUGGAACGCCGAAGGUGAAAACAGGCUGCUGGGGUUGCGCCGACGCUGAGACACGAAAGCCAGGGGAGCAAACGGG